Alligator mississippiensis (American alligator) is the source of this 5057-nucleotide long non-coding RNA. RefSeq lists it as uncharacterized. The record is from RefSeq and is a predicted model, not a curated record. The transcript has 3 exons. NCBI's taxonomy places the organism in Eukaryota, Metazoa, Chordata, Crocodylia, Alligatoridae.
UAGGGUGGCAUCUGUUUAGAGCAGAUAUAAUUCAUUGUCUAGUCCUGCGCUGGCUAAAAUGUUAUUCUUUGUUGACUCCCAUCAGACUAAUAAAGAGUUAAGAGCAAAGUUAGAAUAUAAUGCAGGUUGACUUCCUCUGUCUAAAAUAUCACCAGAUAAAAUUAUCCUGUUUAAGUUGCAAAUGGUGGUGAAGUUAGUGUUGCUUAUUCCAAGAAUAAGCAGUUGUUAGUGGUCCUUACCAUUUACACUUGUUUUGCCUUCCAGAUAAAAGAAGGUGGAUAUUAAGUACAGCAGUCAAGCAGAGAGAAGUCAAACUACCAUCAAUUGCACAUCCAGUGAUACAACUGGAAUGUAUACUAAUGCAUACCGUGGAUGAUUUAUUUUGGUUAUCAGAGGCAGCUGAAAGAAGCAGGCUGGAAAAAGCAGAAUGUGGUGAGAGCAGAGCAGUGCCAUGAGUGUAGUAGCAGUGUGCAAAAGGAGCCUCAGUUCUACCAUCAGAUACAGAGACCAGGCCUGGUUGUUGGCUGAAGUCAAUGAAGUGCACCUCUUAAUAGCGGCAGAGAAUUUGGCCUGCUCACUUGGACUAUGAGCUUCAUCUUCUCAGACAUCUGGUAUCAUGCAAGCAUUCAGUCACAGAGGUGGGGAGUCUAGUGAUCUAUUUCCUCCUUAAGGAAAUAGAAGCAACAGUAAAACCAUCAACAGAAAUCAAAAAGUGGCUGCAUGUUGGGAAGAGGAACUUAAAAAUGUUAUCUCUGUCUUAAACACAAAGCUCUGGCAAUUCCUAAAGGUUCGGCCUUUGGUGUUUUUUCCCUCAACCUCUUGGAUAUUUUUGGCAUAUGGGACUAGAAAAGCAGGGCCUGUAUGGCCCCAAGAUUGACAGACCAGUGUGAUAACUCAUGCACUGUGUGAGACGGGGUUGUACUGCACUGCUCUUUGUGAUGUUGUUGGAAGUGGGAUGGAGAGUUAGAGGCUCAAGAGAUGCUACAUAUUUUUAACAUUUCAUAGAAGCCUGUUUUCAAAUUCUGCUCUCCUUUGCCUCAGUUCUGAGGCGUAACUAGGAACUCAAGUGCCCUGCACAGCAGCUGCCACAGGGAAGUGUCAAUGGCUGUGCUGCUCGUGGCAUGGUGGUCAGACCUGCAGUGUAGCUGCUGCUGUUUUUGGGCUCCUCCUCUAUUAUGCUGCUGCAUGAGUAUGGAUCACAUGUGACUAUUGAGCUCAUUAGUGUUACUGGACUUAAUUUAAGUAAAAUAAUAGCAAAAUUCAGAGUUGGGUGAGCAUUCAGCUAAAUGCACCAUACAGUUAAAAGGACGUUUUGCCACCUGACAGAACAGUGCAUACUGCUUGGUGCUUACACUACCAUCAUAGCAAAAAAAGAGCAAACCAGAAGCAUCUCAGCUGUUGUGUCUGAGCCCAGAAUCUCAUGCAGGAAGUGCUGAAAGCUUGUGGUGCUUCUGUGACUAAGCGUUAUAUCAGUGGGGACAAAAUCCCACAACAAAAUGCAGAGGGUGUGCAGUCAGAAAGGGUGGGCCCCAAUUUAACUUGCAUUAAAGGUGGUAUGAAGUAAAAAAAAACUAAGAAGAAAACCAGUGUGCCAUUUCCUGCUCCCUGAUGUACAAGGAUGUUCUUACAGUGGUGGGUUUACAAAAGAACUCAACUCAUUAAGGGGCACCUAGAGAGAGGCUGAGUUUCCCAAAGUGGUCAGCACCUGACCUAUUGAGCUCUUUUGAAAUUCUGGGCCCAAUUAUGCAUUCUGUCCCUUUGUUUCCACACACAAAUGGGGGUCAUUGUAGGGGUACCACCAGCACCAUCUAAGCCAUUGCAGUACUGAUGUAGACAGGCACUGCUUGAGUGGCAGGUCAGUUUGAUUGUACCAUAGUUCCACAUAGCCAAUGAAACAGUCAACAAGAGCAAUGUCGCUUUUCAGUCCUCCCUCACACCCACUGGUUUCAGGCAGAUCCAAGUACAAUCAAGGUGUGACUUAGCCAUUUUCUACUUUACCAAUUCUUAGCUGUUCUCUUCUUCAGUAUGCAUUUGAAAAGUCUUCAACAAAAGUCAAAUAAAAAUAAGUCAUAAGUACUCUCUCUGGAUCCAUAGAUAAUCAGCCCCAGAAGAUCACAACACUUAACUCAAUUUCCUGAAGUUAAUGAGUAUAUAUUUGUAUAUGUAUGUGUGGGGAUCCACCAUUUAAAGCAAUGAAUGAAAGAAGGCAUUUCCCUUCCUGGAACCUAUGGUGGGGUAGCAGGUAGGCAACUGAACUGCCCAGACUCCUAGGCUAGGGACAGACAUUCAAAAAGUCUGAGCCUGAAUCAAUUCAAUCUUUGCAGGUUAGUCUAACCUGGCUAGGCUAAAUCAGUUCUGUAACCAGACAGACAUCCCAGAAAAGCAGGUACAUGCCUGAAGUGGCUAAGGCCAGAAGCUGGGGGCCACUAAAGCAGCCCUCCCAUCCCUUACACAGCACUGAGAGUCAGACCCCAGCAGGAUGCUUUGAUUAGCCCAGCAGGGAAUUGAUAACAGUGUUUAUCACCCCCUAACAAAGUGUUUAUCACCCCAUUAAGAAAAUAACAGAGGGACAUUACCAGCUGCCUGUUGAUUCUACCGGUUGAUUCAGCAGGGACCAUAGCCAGGAUGUGGUCUGCUAGCUAAUACACAGACAUCUCUCUGCAAGGCAGAGGGGAGGGGUGGGGAGCAGGGAUUCCUGCAGUCUGUGCUGGAACUGCAGCCAGGGAGCAGAGGAAAGGGGCCAGCCCUGCUGUGGAGCAGAGAGCCCCACCCAGCCCAGAGAGCAUGUCGGGAUGCUGGGGGAGUCUGGUUUAUCUUAAACCAGCAAGGGAUCUGGGGCAGACAUUGCAUAAACUGGUUUGACCCAAAUCAGUUAAGUCUGAUACUACAUUCCACCAGGUUUAUCUCAAACCAGUUUCAGCCAUUUUCAAACUGGUUCAUGUGCACUGACCAUCUGUUCUGUUACAGGUUUAAACCUGUUUCUGACCACUUGAACCAGUUUAUGUGUAAUGUUUGUCCCUAGCCCUAAAGCCUGAAACCCCACAUAGAUGUAUAGUAUGGUCAGAGUACCUCCUGACCUCUCUUUACCUCCUUAGCACUAUCCAAGAAUUGCUGGUCAUUUUUCUUAGAGAAAUGUACUUUCUUUAGUAGCAAAACAAUAUGAAGUGAAGGACGAGAGACUGUGAGAGCUGAGGAAAUGUCACCGGAGGACCUGGACCCUUUCUAUAGCUGGUUUCGAGCUAGAUGCAUGAGAGAAAAGGAGCCAGCACAUUACCAUUAUACUAAAAGACAUAUAAUUUCCAAAUGCUUUGUGCACAGGGUUAAAACAAGCUUCCUAUGUCCUUCAGCAUGUCACAAUACACUACCAAUUUCCAGACCUGAACUAAAUCCACUAGCAGGUAGGGUAAUAUUAUGGGGCCAUGUCCACAAUCUUUAUUGUGGACAGGAGUUUAAUAGGUAGGUGCUACAUCUGAGACUAUAUCUUGUAGAUAUUAUAACAUGAGGCAGAAUCAUUGGAAACAAUUGUCAUCAUCAAUGACUAAAUGAAAAAUGCUGCCAUGUUAAAGGUUCAAAUAUAUCAGUGUAGAUAUAAAAGAUGUCAGAACCACUGCAACAAGCUAUGGAUUGGUAGUCUUGCAUUCUUUGUAUCAUAUGCUUCUCAGGGCUUGUAUUGUAUAUACCAUACUGUUUAUUUGUCUGUUGCAUUAUAGUGACACUUGCUAACACAAAUAAUUGUUAAAUACUUGUUAAUCUUUUAGGGCCAUGUUCUGCAAAAUAUUUCACUGCAUGCCUAAAUGUAAAUAUGUUUCAAAUUUGAUACAUGCUUAAACAGCUUGUUUUAAUUACAAUGCCUUUGUUCCCAGGGGUAAAUGGCUUAGAAGUAGAGGCUUGGCAUACAAUGUCUUUGCAAAGGAUAUAGCCCAGGACCUCUUUCACAUUUACACUUAAGAAUGCUUAUUUUACUGAAGCCACUCUAAAUCUCUAGUAUUUCCACCCCCACCCCCACAAAAACAAAGUGGACAAAUGCUUUUUGAAGGAUAUCUAACCCAAGUGGAUUUUGAUUAAGUGAAUAAGGAAGAAAUUCUACUUUGGAUAACAACUGCUAAUUAGUUAGCAAACUAUCUAUCACAGCAUGAGCAAUAGAUGGCCCAUGGACCAGAUUUGGCCCGUGGAGCUGUCUCAUCUUGCCUGCAGGUUUCCCCAUGGGUCUUGAAAUUUGAUGGUAAGGGAGUGGUGGCAGCAUUAAUACUCAUUUUACCACCAAAUUUUCAGACCUGUGGGGAGCCCUGUGUAAUGCAGCUCUGUGCUGGGGCUGUGGACCUAAUCCAUGUGCCAGAUUGGAGCUGUAGAUUGGCCCUGCACCUAAAUUAAGCACCGGUGAUUUAUCAGUAUUUAAGACAGUGGAUGCUGUAUGUCCAGAGCGCACAGCAGCUCUCAUUUAACAUCUAUGCUAUGGUAGUGACUGGAUGCCUCAACCAGGUUGAAGCCCAUUGUAUUAUGCACUAUGCAAACAGACGGUGACAGUUAUAUGUUGUUUUCACAUGUUCAUACGUAUUUUCAAUUUUUUUUGCAUUCUGGGAUUAUGUCCUUUAAAGUGUUCAACAUUAAUGAUUUUUAAAUGACCAUAAGUCAAUAAAAUAGCUGAUUAGGAUGCAUAAUUAUUUCUCUUGUUGUCACACAUUUGUGUGCAGGAUAAAGUAUCAGACUGAGAUUUUCUGUCUCUAGUGCCCUGAUUGUGAGCAGAAAUGGGUCCUAAUAGCCUCAUUCAAAGCUCUUUGAAGUCAAUAGGAAGACUCCCAUUGGGAGCCAUAAAAGUCCAGACUAGAAUUUUCACACUAGGGCCUUGUCUAUAUGUGAAAAUCACUCAAUUUAUGUAUCUUAGUUUAAAAACUGCUUUAGUUAAAUGCAUGUAAACACCCCUGUGGACACACUUUUUGCUUUAAUUUGUCCCUUCUUGAUUUUGCUUUAAGUUGGUCAAAGUCUAUAAUUUAUGUACUUUUAAAUCAUGUUAUAAGUAUUUUAAUUGCUGAAAAAUGAAAAAUAAAUAUGAAGCAUUU